GCGUUCAGCUCCAGCCUUUCUCCCCAUCUGCCCUCCUACUCGUGCCCCAUUUGUCUGAGUCCCACCCGCUCUGGGAAGUGAUUUGAUACCGCCAAUAUUAACAUUCACGCUUUAACUCCUUCAUGGAUGCAUAAACUUGACUGAUGUCCUAUCCUGUUCCCUGUUCACAAUGCCAGUUAGGGAUGCUUCAAACAUUGCUCAUGAGGCCAACUUGACUCUGGGGAAGGAAGUUCCUUCCAUUUUACUUUCAUAAUGAUUCUGCAAGAUGGACAAAACUUACCUAGCUUCAUAUAACCUCAUCACGGUAUCUACGUAUGACAUCUCAUUGGCUCUCAAAAUGCACGAUUUAGUCAAAGUUGGUCAGAUGUAUCUCUGAAAAUGACAGUUCUUGCUCCCAGAGGCUUAACUGUUGUGUUUCUCAUGGUGCUAUUUUACUGUGAUGGAGAAAAUAUUUGUGUAGGAAUACUGAAAGAGAGCGCCUGAAUUAAAAUAAAAAAGAAUAGAAUUCUA
Pantherophis guttatus is the source of this 510-nucleotide non-coding RNA. Lineage: Eukaryota; Metazoa; Chordata; Lepidosauria; Squamata; Colubridae. The record is from RefSeq and is a predicted model, not a curated record.